GACGAACGCUGGCGGCGUGCCUAAUACAUGCAAGUUGAGCGCUGAAGGUUGGUACUUGUACCAACUGGAUGAGCAGCGAACGGGUGAGUAACGCGUGGGGAAUCUGCCUUUGAGCGGGGGACAACCUUUGGAAACGAAUGCUAAUACCGCAUAAAAACUUUAAACACAAGUUUUAAGUUUGAAAGAUGCAGUUGCAUCACUCAAAGAUGAUCCCGCGUUGUAUUAGCUAGUUGGUGAGGUAAAGGCUCACCAAGGCGAUGAUACAUAGCCGACCUGAGAGGGUGAUCGGCCACAUUGGGACUGAGACACGGCCCAAACUCCUACGGGAGGCAGCAGUAGGGAAUCUUCGGCAAUGGACGAAAGUCUGACCGAGCAACGCCGCGUGAGUGAAGAAGGUUUUCGGAUCGUAAAACUCUGUUGGUAGAGAAGAACGUUGGUGAGAGUGGAAAGCUCAUCAAGUGACGGUAACUACCCAGAAAGGGACGGCUAACUACGUG
This 497-nucleotide ribosomal RNA is filed under the name uncultured bacterium. Its description in RNAcentral is "partial 16S ribosomal RNA". It matches the Rfam family "Bacterial small subunit ribosomal RNA", at positions 28 to 507 of the family's 1533-position model. The record is from RNAcentral.